AAUCAACGCUGGCGGCGUGCCUAAUACAUGCAAGUCGAACGCGAAAGUCCCGCAAGGGAUCAGUAGAGUGGCAAACGGGUGAGUAACACGUGGGUGACCUGCCUUCGAGCGGGGGAUAACGUUCCGAAAGGGACGCUAAUACCGCAUGAUAUCCUGCCUUUGAACAGGUGGAGAUUAAAGCUGGGGAUCGCAAGACCUAGCGCUUGAAGAGGGGCCCGCGCCCGAUUAGCAGUUGGUGGGGUAACGGCUCACCAAGGCAACGAUCGGUAGCCGGCCUGAGAGGGCGGACGGCCACACUGGGACUGAGACACGGCCCAGACUCCUACGGGAGGCAGCAGUAGGGAAUUGUUCGCAAUGGGCGCAAGCCUGACGACGCAACGCCGCGUGGAGGAUGAAGAUCUUCGGGUCGUAAACUCCUUUCGAUUGGGACGAAUUUCCCGGGAGUGAAUAAUUCCCGGGGUUGACGGUACCGAGAGAAGAAGCCCCGGCUAACUCCGUGCCAGCA
This 505-nucleotide ribosomal RNA is filed under the name uncultured bacterium. RNAcentral describes it as "bacterial SSU rRNA". It matches the Rfam family "Bacterial small subunit ribosomal RNA", at positions 32 to 513 of the family's 1533-position model. The record is from RNAcentral.